UACUCGAGUGGCGAACGGGUGAGUAACACGUGGGUGAUCUGCCCUGCACUUCGGGAUAAGCCUGGGAAACUGGGUCUAAUACCGGAUAGGAGCCAUUUUUAGUGUGAUGGUUGGAAAGUUUUUUCGGUGUAGGAUGAGCUCGCGGCCUAUCGGCUUGUUGGUGGGGUAAUGGCCUACCAAGGCGGCGACGGGUAGCCGGCCUGAGAGGGUGGACGGCCACAUUGGGACUGAGAUACGGCCCAG
This 243-nucleotide ribosomal RNA is filed under the name uncultured Actinomycetales bacterium. Its description in RNAcentral is "partial 16S ribosomal RNA". It matches the Rfam family "Bacterial small subunit ribosomal RNA", at positions 88 to 334 of the family's 1533-position model. The record is from RNAcentral. Lineage: Bacteria; Bacillati; Actinomycetota; Actinomycetes; Actinomycetales.